CCCACCUCCAUAUAUAUACUCCCCACGUCCGGCUUGUCUGAUUUUUCCCCAAAAUCGCAGUCUCCCGUGCCCUAGGUUGAUUUCGCGAUCUCGCCGGAGUUCCACCGCUGCUGACCUCCGCCGUCGUCGUUUCCGUCGCCUACAGGGAGUACCGAACCGAGCGCAAGGACCUCGAUCCGAAGAUCACAGCCACCGCACGACUCCAGCCACCCUCUGCCGUCAACCCCGUUCGCCACCGACGCCUCUGAGGACUUCUUCGAGACUGCAUCCGAGCUCCGCGCCCCGUACGCUACCCUCCGGAGUCUCGAGACCACCGGAGCAGGCGCCACCAUCGCCGCCCGAGCCGCCGCGCCGCUGUUUUGUCCAAGUCCGGCCGCCCCAGCCUCUGUUCCUCUUCGAUUGUCCGGAGUGUGAAGCGGAUCAGAAUUAAUCGUUAGAGUACUUCAGCACCGUUCAA
Molecule: long non-coding RNA, 457 nt
Organism: Triticum dicoccoides
Lineage: Eukaryota; Viridiplantae; Streptophyta; Magnoliopsida; Poales; Poaceae
Exons: 3
Source: RefSeq, a predicted model, not a curated record